Molecule: long non-coding RNA, 366 nt
Organism: Helianthus annuus (common sunflower)
Lineage: Eukaryota; Viridiplantae; Streptophyta; Magnoliopsida; Asterales; Asteraceae
Exons: 2
Source: RefSeq, a predicted model, not a curated record
ACCAUCAAAACAUGUCUAAACCCAUUAAACUUACCACCCUGUGCACAAUAGCCCUUCUCCUCCUUUCUUCCUUAUCGUACGCCGUCGCACGUGUUCCACCCUCCGUUGGUACCAUCACUCCGGUUGAAACUCAUCACUCGAGAUGAAGAAGAAGAAGAGUGUUUGAUGAGAAGAACACUAGUUGCUCAUCUUGAUUAUAUUUAUACGCAAAAUAAGCAGCCGUGAAUUAUAAUAAUAUGUUAAUGAGAUUGAUUUUAUUUUGUGUGUUUUUGUCGAUUUGGUUAUCUCGAUCUGCCUCUAUUCUGUAGAAUUCAUUGGAUGAUUUUUGGUAAAUUGACGGCCGAAAAAGUUGGUGAUCGUGAUUUA